UUUGUCCUACGGGGGGCAGCAGUAGGGAAUCUUCCACAAUGGGCGAAAGCCUGAUGGAGCAACGCCGCGUGGGUGAAGAAGGUCUUCGGAUCGUAAACCCCUGUUGUUAGAGAAGAAAGUGCGUGAGAGUAACUGUUCACGUUUCGACGGUAUCUAACCAGAAAGCCACGGCUAACUACGUGCCAGCAGCCGCGUUAAUACGUAGGUGGCAAGCGUUAUCCGGAUUUAUUGGUCGUAAAGGGAACGCAGGCGGUCUUUUAAGUCUGAUGUGCAAGCCUUCGGCUUA
This 286-nucleotide ribosomal RNA is filed under the name uncultured bacterium. RNAcentral's name for it is "partial 16S ribosomal RNA". It matches the Rfam family "Bacterial small subunit ribosomal RNA", at positions 333 to 611 of the family's 1533-position model. The record is from RNAcentral.